AGUUGUUGCUGUGCCAUGUUUCCUGAUCUUUAUAAUUACUGCUUUAAUCAUUCUGAGAGGAGUCCGCAAACGACGUUCACAAAAUUUAACCCAGCCUCCAAGAAGAUUGCAGCAACAGAGAGAACCUGUUUAUGAAAACCUGGAAAUUGAAAGUCACCAACGAUCUGUAAAAAUUCAGAUUCACCCUUACAAAUACAGGGCUGAGUGAUAUGAAUCACACAUACUAAAGACUUACUAUUUGUUUUUAGAUUACCAGCAGUUUUAAAUAGCUUUCUAUUGAAGAGCAUUAAUUGUAGUUAAAAUUGCAUUUUUUUUCUGGCUAACUGAACAUAUGUCAUAAUGUGAUCUCAUCACUUGUAAUUAUAAAUAAAUUAACAGUUCACUCAUCUG
Molecule: long non-coding RNA, 390 nt
Organism: Archocentrus centrarchus (flier cichlid)
Lineage: Eukaryota; Metazoa; Chordata; Actinopteri; Cichliformes; Cichlidae
Exons: 3
Source: RefSeq, a predicted model, not a curated record